RNAcentral lists this ribosomal RNA (429 nucleotides) under uncultured Sphingobacteriales bacterium. RNAcentral's name for it is "bacterial SSU rRNA". It matches the Rfam family "Bacterial small subunit ribosomal RNA", at positions 952 to 1382 of the family's 1533-position model. Lineage: Bacteria; Pseudomonadati; Bacteroidota; Sphingobacteriia; Sphingobacteriales. The record is from RNAcentral.
CGAUGAUACGCGAGGUAACCUUACCUGGGCUUAAAUGUAGAGUGCAUUUUUUAGAGAUAGAAACUUCCCUUCGGGCUUUCUGCAAGGUGCUGCAUGGUUGUCGUCAGCUCGUGCCGUGAGGUGUCGGGUUAAGUCCCAUAACGAGCGCAACCCUUAUCGUUAGUUGCCAUCUGGUAAUGCAGGGGACUCUAGCGAAACUGCCACCGUAAGGUGAGAGGAAGUGGGAUGACGUCAAAUCAGCACGGCCCUUAUGUCCAGGGCUACACACGUGUUACAAUGGUCGGUACAGAGGGCAGCUACCUGGUGACAGGAUGCUAAUCUCGAAAACCGGUCUCAGUUCGGAUCGAAGUCUGCAACUCGACUUCGUGAAGCUGGAUUCGCUAGUAAUCGCGCAUCAGCUAUGGCGCGGUGAAUACGUUCCCGGGCCUU